UCAUUCAUUCAUUUCCACCGUUCAUGGAUCCAGUAAGCGUGUGGGGUAACACGCCCUUGGCGACGGUGGAUCCCGAGAUCCAUGACCUCAUCGAGAAGGAGAAGCGCCGUCAAUGCCGCGGAAUCGAGCUCAUCGCCUCCGAGAACUUCACCUCCUUCGCCGUCAUCGAGGCCCUCGGCAGCGCUCUCACGAACAAAUACUCCGAGGGCAUGCCGGGCAACCGCUACUACGGCGGCAAUGAAUACAUCGACCAGAUCGAAAACCUCUGCCGCUCACGCGCCCUCCAAGCCUUCCACCUCGACGCCCAAUCCUGGGGCGUCAACGUCCAGCCCUACUCCGGCUCCCCGGCCAACUUCGCCGCCUACACCGCCGUCCUCAACCCCCACGACCGCAUCAUGGGGCUAGAUCUCCCCUCCGGCGGCCACCUCACCCACGGCUACUACACCUCCGGCGGAAAGAAGAUCUCCGCCACCUCCAUUUACUUCGAGAGUCUCCCUUACAAGGUAAACUCCACCACCGGCUACAUCGACUACGACCGCUUGGAAGAAAAAGCCCUAGACUUCAGGCCAAAACUCAUAAUCUGCGGUGGCAGCGCGUACCCUCGCGAUUGGGA
Molecule: long non-coding RNA, 613 nt
Filed under: Glycine max (soybean)
Lineage: Eukaryota; Viridiplantae; Streptophyta; Magnoliopsida; Fabales; Fabaceae
Description: long non-coding RNA (GMAX_LNC001681)
Source: RNAcentral